This 81-nucleotide transfer RNA is filed under the name Rhodococcus (subgen. Prescottella) equi. Its description in RNAcentral is "Rhodococcus hoagii tRNA-Ala". It matches the Rfam family "tRNA". From Rfam's summary of the family: Transfer RNA (tRNA) molecules are approximately 80 nucleotides in length. Their secondary structure includes four short double-helical elements and three loops (D, anti-codon, and T loops). Lineage: Bacteria; Bacillati; Actinomycetota; Actinomycetes; Mycobacteriales; Nocardiaceae. The record is from RNAcentral.
GGGGGUUAUGGCGCAGUUGUGGUAGCGCGUCUGCAUGGCAUGCAGAAGGUUCAGGGGUGUCGAAUCCCCUUACCUCCACCA